RNAcentral lists this ribosomal RNA (253 nucleotides) under uncultured bacterium. Its description in RNAcentral is "partial 16S ribosomal RNA". It matches the Rfam family "Bacterial small subunit ribosomal RNA", at positions 524 to 776 of the family's 1533-position model. The record is from RNAcentral.
UACAGAGGUGGCAAGCGUUGUUCGGAUUUAUUGGGCGUAAAGGGUCUGUAGGCGGUUCGGAAAGUCAGAUGUGAAAUCCUACAGCUUAACUGUAGAACUGCAUUUGAAACUUCCGGACUAGAGUAUGAGAGGGGUUAAGGGAAUUCCCGGUGUAAGGGUGAAAUCUGCAGAGAUCGGGAGGAACACCAGUCGCGAAGGCGCUUAACUGGCUCAUUACUGACGCUCAGGGACGAAAGCUAGGGGAGCAAACGGG